RNAcentral lists this ribosomal RNA (348 nucleotides) under Bradyrhizobium sp. 12.4. RNAcentral's name for it is "bacterial LSU rRNA". It matches the Rfam family "Bacterial large subunit ribosomal RNA", at positions 1 to 233 of the family's 2925-position model. The record is from RNAcentral. Lineage: Bacteria; Pseudomonadati; Pseudomonadota; Alphaproteobacteria; Hyphomicrobiales; Nitrobacteraceae. RNAcentral also lists the same sequence under 3 other names.
CAAUCAAGUGCCUUAAGGGUGUUCGGUGGAUGCCUUGGCGCUGAGAGGCGAUGAAGGACGUGCUACGCUGCGAUAAGCCGUGGGGAGCUGCGAAGAAGCUUUGAUCCAUGGAUUUCCGAAUGGGGAAACCCACCUUCGAUAGCCGGAACUCCAAGACCUUUGUCGAAAGACAUCGGUGUGGGGUUCGAACAGAAAUGUUAGAUGCCUAGACCUUUAGAUUUCGAUCGAAGAGGUUUUGGAUUUCCGGUUAUCAAGAGAAGGUAUGAGACUUCUGAAUACAUAGGAGGUUUCAAGCAAACCCAGGGAACUGAAACAUCUAAGUACCUGGAGGAAAGGACAUCAACAGAG